AGUGAACGCUGGCGGUAGGCCUAACACAUGCCAGUCGAACGGCAGCACAGUAAGAGCUUGCUCUUACGGGUGGCGAGUGGCGGACGGGUGAGGAAUACAUCGGAAUCUACUUUUUCGUGGGGGAUAACGUAGGGAAACUUACGCUAAUACCGCAUACGACCUACGGGUGAAAGCAGGGGAUCUUCGGACCUUGCGCGAUUGAAUGAGCCGACGUCGGAUUAGCUAGUUGGCGGGGUAAAGGCCCACCAAGGCGACGAUCCGUAGCUGGUCUGAGAGGAUGAUCAGCCACACUGGAACUGAGACACGGUCCAGACUCCUACGGGAGGCAGCAGUGGGGAAUAUUGGACAAUGGGCGCAAGCCUGAUCCAGCCAUACCGCGUGGGUGAAGAAGGCCUUCGGGUUGUAAAGCCCUUUUGUUGGGAAAGAAAAGCAGCAGGUUAAUACCCCGCUGUUCUGACGGUACCCAAAGAAUAAGCACCGGCUAACUUCGUG
This 492-nucleotide ribosomal RNA is filed under the name uncultured bacterium. Its description in RNAcentral is "partial 16S ribosomal RNA". It matches the Rfam family "Bacterial small subunit ribosomal RNA", at positions 29 to 507 of the family's 1533-position model. The record is from RNAcentral.